Molecule: long non-coding RNA, 591 nt
Organism: Pieris napi
Lineage: Eukaryota; Metazoa; Arthropoda; Insecta; Lepidoptera; Pieridae
Exons: 2
Source: RefSeq, a predicted model, not a curated record
GCACUUGGGGGUCUAGCCAUAUUGGUGUCGAAAAGUAUUCUACAUACACUACCGCUUUUGCGUAAUUGUACUGUCGAAAACGCUUCGUUCGUAGCCAAGAGGCAUGUCGAUACAUUACCGCAAAGUCGACACCGUAGAUGCGAGCUGCUGUUCGUAGCACCUUAUUCCGUCAUAUUGUCUCUGGAUUAAAUGUAUUCCUAAUGUCACUUUUAUAAACAAAUAAAAGUUAAAACUUAACAAUAUUAUUGUAAAUUUGCAAUUGGAAGCUGCAAAAGGGACAUUAGAAUGUCAGAAAGGUCGGACCAAUUUUCAAUUUAAGUGGAAUUUACGGAAGGUGCAAAGAUUUGACCUCACAACUAAUCUGCAAAAUGAAGAAGCAACAUAUUUUGUUACCGCUUAGAAGAAACAAUAGAAAUAGUACUGUGGAUUGAUAAAUAAAGAGUGAAAAUAAGAUUGAUUAGAAGUUGAUAAAGUCCAAGGAAUUAAAAAACAAUAGAAAAAAAACGUAGACUAGUGUGAACACUGAUAUUAGAGUUUAAUUUAAGCUUUAAUUAGGUUUGGUGUUUGUGCUUGAACAUUUUUAAUGUCAAU